RNAcentral lists this transfer RNA (77 nucleotides) under Mycolicibacterium peregrinum. RNAcentral describes it as "tRNA-Arg". It matches the Rfam family "tRNA". From Rfam's summary of the family: Transfer RNA (tRNA) molecules are approximately 80 nucleotides in length. Their secondary structure includes four short double-helical elements and three loops (D, anti-codon, and T loops). Lineage: Bacteria; Bacillati; Actinomycetota; Actinomycetes; Mycobacteriales; Mycobacteriaceae. The record is from RNAcentral.
GUCCGCGUAGCUCAACAGGACAGAGCGUCGGUCUCCUACACCGGAAUGUGCGGGUUCGACUCCCGCCGCGGACACCA